AGCAGACCGGGUGCCACACAAGGGGAGGCAGGGAGGCCAGAGCGAGACUUUGGCACGGAGCUGGAAGGUUCUAACUUGCAUGUCAUCUCCACAUGGGCCCUUUGGCCAAAGUACAGCCUCCACGUGUUUUGAGGCCAGGCAGGGCCAGCACCGGCAGCAUUACUACCGUGACGGAGUGGACUCCACUGGCUUUGUGAAUCUGGGACCACACUUUCUGAUGCAACAACCUGGGCUUCUCAGUGUGGGGCUCUCUGGGUCUGGUUCUACUGGCUGCUCCGUCUAGGGACACAGGAAACUCCAAAGGGGUCCAGCACACCACCUGAUGCCCGGCCACGUUGCUUCAACGCCGUUCACCAAGAACACAAAGGCUUGUGGGGAAAUGUGGCUACUAAAUGCCAUGCAUUUUUGAUGUCCAACAGUUUUUCUUACAAGAACUGUGUGCUGGCCGCUGCAGUAGCCAUCAGCCAUGUGUGGCCAUGAUGCACGUGAAGAGGAGCUAGUGAGUCCUGAGACAUGGGCAGUACACG
Molecule: long non-coding RNA, 527 nt
Filed under: Equus caballus (horse)
Lineage: Eukaryota; Metazoa; Chordata; Mammalia; Perissodactyla; Equidae
Description: lncRNA (ENSECAG00000048235.1)
Source: RNAcentral